RNAcentral lists this ribosomal RNA (362 nucleotides) under uncultured archaeon. RNAcentral describes it as "bacterial SSU rRNA". It matches the Rfam family "Archaeal small subunit ribosomal RNA", at positions 860 to 1227 of the family's 1478-position model. The record is from RNAcentral.
AGGAAUUGGCGGGGGAGCACCACAAGGGGUGGGACCUGCGGUUCAAUUGGAUUCAACGCCGAGAAACUCACCAGGGGCGACAGUUGUUUGAAGGCCAGGUUGACGACCUUGCCGGACUAUCUGAGAGGUGGUGCAUGGCCGUCGUCAGCUCGUACCGUGAGGCGUCCUGUUAAGUCAGGCAACGAGCGAGACCCUCACCCUUAGUUGCCAUCGGUGGGAAGCCGGGCACUCUAAGGGGACCGCUGGCGCUAAGUCAGAGGAAGGAGAGGGCAACGAUAGGUCCGUAUGCCCCGAAUCCCCUGGGCUACACGCGGGUCACAAUGCGCAGGACAAUGGGAUGCAACCCCGUAAGGGGAAGCCAA